Molecule: RNA transcript, 2160 nt
Organism: Sapajus apella (tufted capuchin)
Lineage: Eukaryota; Metazoa; Chordata; Mammalia; Primates; Cebidae
Gene name: THO complex subunit 1 pseudogene
Exons: 1
Source: RefSeq, a predicted model, not a curated record
GAAACCACAUUGAAAACAGUAAAUCAGUCUCCAAUACCGCCACUCUUCAGUUUGCCUGAAACACAGAUGCGGUUUACGAACUCUACCAGAGAGGCCUUGAACAUCAAAAACAUCAAGCCAUUGUUAAGUACCUUCAGCCAGGUACCUGCCAGUGAAAAAAAAAAAAAAAAAAAAAAAAAAAAAAGUGCCCUUGAUUAAGCUUUCAGAGUUUUUCUAGAAAAAGAAACUAUAAAUCAUUCAUCAUAUGAAAACAUUUUAGCUAUCAUUUCUCUUGCUAUUGGGUGAGUAACUGAAGCUUAAUGGUGAAGAAAACAGGCUGUAGAGCCAGACUGCCUGGGUAUUUGUACCACAUCUACACCUUUUGUAUUGUUGGGAGAUGUUUUGGAUUGUCUUCCUUUGGAUCAGUGUGAUAUAAUAUUUAUUUCUGUGGAAAAAAAAUGUUGCUACUUGGAAAUCAAAUACAUUUUAUUCUGCUGGGAAAAAUUACUUACUACAUAUGUGCAAUGAUCUCCUAAGAAGAUGAUCUAAAUCCCAGAAUACGGUCUUCUGUGGACCAAUUCAGCUCUUUUUGGCUAGGCUUUUCCCGCUAUCUCAGAAAUCAGGUCUUAACUUGCAGAGUCAGUUUAAUCUGGAAAAUGUCAUUGUUUUCAAUACCAAUGAGCAGGAAAGCACCCUGGGUCAGAAGCACACUGAAGAUAGAGAAGAAGGAAUGGAUGUAGAAGAAGGUGAAAUGGGAGAUGAGGAAGCUCCAACAACGUGCUCUAUUCCAGUUGAUUACAACCUGUAUCCAAAAUUCUGGUCACUUCGAGAUUACUUCAGGAACCUUGUGCAAUGCUAUGAGAAGAUUUCAUGGAAAACUUUUCUCAAUUAUUCUGAAGAAGUUUUAGUUGUUUUUAACAGUUACAAAUUAGAUGAUACUCAGUCCUCAAGAAAAAAGAUGGAAGAAUUGAAAACAGGAGGAGAGCCUGUAUAUUUUGCAAAAUUUUUAACAAGUGAAAAGCUGAUGGAUUUACAACCGAGUGACAGUAACUUUGGUUGACACAACCUGUUGCAGUAUCUCAUUUUAUUCCUAUAUCUCAAAGGGCAGGUCAAAUUCAAAAGUUCAAACUAUGUUUUAACUGAUGAACAAUGACUUUGGAUUGAAGAUACUACAAAAUCAGUUUAUCAACUACUAUCUGAAAACUCCCUGAUGGAGAAAGAUUUUCAGAAAUGGUAGAGCAUAUAAUAAACACUGAAGAAAGCUGGAAUUCAUGGAAAAAUGAAGGUUGCCCAAAUUUUGUGAAAGAAAGAAAAUCGGAUACAAACCUAUGAGAAUAAUUCAAAAAAGAACAACACCUGAGGACUUCCUAGGAAAAGGAGCCAGCAAAAAAAUUCUGAUGGGAAAUGAGGAGUUAAUAAGGCUUUGGAAUCUUUGUCCUGAUAAUUUGGAAGCCUGUAAAUCAGAGACAAGGGAAUAUACACCCACUUUGGAGGAAUUCUUUGAAGAAGCCAUUGAACAGGCAGACCCUGAAAAUGUGGUUGAAAAUGAAUAUAAGGCUGUGAACAAUUCAAAUUAUGGUCGGAGAGCCCUGAGACUAUUAGCACGGAGAAGUCCUCACUUCUUCCAACCAACCAACCAGCAGUUUAAAAGUUUGCCAGAAUACCUUGAAAAUAUGGUAAUAAAGCUAGCCAAGGAAUCACUGCCUCCUUCUGAAGAAAUAAAAACAGGUGAGGAUGAAGAUGAGGAAGAUAAUGAUGCUUUACUGAAGGAAAAUGAAAAUCCUGAUGUUUGGGGAGACAAACCUGUAACAGGGGAACAAAUAGAAGUAUUUGCCAACAAGCUGGGUGAACAAUGGAAGACUCUGGCUCCCUACUUGGAAAUGAAAGACUCAGAAAUUAGGCAGAUUGAGUGUGACAGUGAAGACAUAAAUAUGAGAGCUAAACAGCUCCUGGUUGCCUGGCAAGAGCAAGAGGGAGUUCAUGCGACGCCUGAGAAUCUGAUUAAUGCACUGAAUAAGUCUGGAUUAAGUGACCUUUAAGAAAGUCUAACUAAUGACAAUGAGACAAAUAGUUAGAUUCUUUUUUUUUCUUUUUAUUAAAACUGUGAUAAGAUUUUGUUACCAAGCAGCAUUUGAUAAGAGGUCCAUUGGUUUUAGUAAACAAUAAACAUUUGUAUAACAA